Cygnus olor (mute swan) is the source of this 1573-nucleotide long non-coding RNA. RefSeq lists it as uncharacterized. The transcript has 3 exons. Lineage: Eukaryota; Metazoa; Chordata; Aves; Anseriformes; Anatidae. The record is from RefSeq and is a predicted model, not a curated record.
AACAAAAAACACCAACAACAUCAACAAAGUAGUUUUGUAAAGCAAAUUACUAAAAAUGGAGUGGGCUGUUAAGAGUCUUUAAUUAUCUCUUUGACUACACUGGGACAAUUAAUUUUACACUCCCUGAACACAUGUGUGAGAGCACCUUUUGUUCUCAGGAGGCAAAGCAGAAGCAAGUGCUAAAGAGCUGCAGGUGCCCUGGGCCGGGGCUUGGCCCACCUGCUUGGAGUCUCUCGGGGCAGAGGAGUUGGAGUAAUAGUGGUAAAGAAAAGGAGAAAGAAGGCAAAACACUUGAAAGAAAAUUUCUGUUGGGAGGAAUGCAAUUAUAGUGGAAUGAGAAGGCAUUCAGGAAAAAGAAAUGUAUAAAAUCCAGCGUCUCAGGAGAAAUAUUUGCAAAGGUGAAAAUGUGCAUAAUGGUUUCCUUGACAUGACAAUGAAGAACCUAUACAAAAAGUGACCAGAGGCUGCAAGUAAUUGGAGAUUGAUUAAUACCUGGGAUGACGAAACAUAUGAAAAAUUACCACCUGAAAUGCGAUCAGUCCACAUAUGGAAAUUCAGCGUGUGGUGCUGGGAGCAACGUGCGGUGUGAUCCAGCUGGCGGGGAUGGUCCCUCAUGCAAUGAACCAGGUGGAAUCUCCAUUCCCAGGGAUCUGAUUCAGUCAUGGUAUUUGUGUUCCCUGUUUCUGGGGACAUUUAACACUUUUGUACGAGAAAGGUUUAUCAACUCCAAAGCAAUCAGAAGAAAGGUUUUUUUCAUUUAUUACCAGCACUGCCUUGAUAUACUUUUCCCCCUUUUGCUUUCAUUCCAGUGAUUGAAAUGAACCAAAUCUGAAUUAAUUGUCAAGUUUUGAGAGAUUUAGGUUAAUUGUUUUCAAAGCAGUGUCAGAGGAAAAUGUUUAGCUGUAGCAAUCGCUUUGUUGCUGUGUGGUGGUUGUCUUAGAAACUUCCCCAAGACGAAACUUUCACACAGAUGAAGGAUCUUGGUUUCUGAAGAGCUCCAUAAAAGGAAAGAUCACAGGUGUCAUCUUUAAACUCUUCUCAUCUAGCAUCACUUUACAAUGAAUUUUUUUUAAAGGUUAUUUUCUUUUGGAUAUCUCCUUUGUACACCAGGCCUGAUCUGAAGCAUUAUUUUUCGGUCAGCAGAAAGAUUUCUCCUGAUUUCAGGGGGACUCGUUCUCCACAGGCAAGACAAGGCCUCAGGGUCUCCCCUGUGAGCACUGUGGCCAUCAGGCUGGGGGCUCUCAUCUCCGGCCCCACCAGCCACUGCACUGCCUUGGCACACGCUGAAUGAUGCUCCCUCAUCUCCUCUGACCUUUCCUCUGCUUUGGAGGAAGCCUCUCUUUUGCAGUUUCUGUCACCAAGCCAACGCUUUUGGUCUUUCCACCUUCUAGUAUUUCAUCUUUCUGAAAUCUCAUCAGGAAAACAAACAAAAAAACAAUAAUAAUAAUAAUAAAAAAAAACAUUUUCAGGUAACUAUUAUACAAAAGAAAAAAGGAAGAUAUUAACUAUAUUAAUUUUUUUUAGCUUCUCUACUAAUAAAAUUGCAUUGUAAUGUUGUUUAAAGUCAAUGGAG